CUCCGCGCCGCAGGCGCCUCGUUUCUGGCGUCACGCGCAGCAUGGCUGCCCAAAGGCGACGUGAGGCUUUUCGCUGCCCUUCCUGCCUCUCCUGCCAUGGCCGCCCGAGAGACCACGUUGGAAAGCUUAUUUAGCGUGCCCUCUUUAUGGCACUUUUCGCCUUCAUAUGGACCGGAUCUUCCUUUGGCCUGCGUGCCUAAGAGACCCACGCCGUCAAAAUCAUCUGUUUGCCAUCUCAAAGACCAUAGCUGAAAGAUAAUUUCCAGUGCGAAGUUUCUGGCUAAGGGAGAGAACACAGGAACGGUCCACAUCAGAGGUCCCAGAGAAGAGUCUCACACAAAGGCCACGUCUCUUGUUUGCAGCUGGGGUUGACUGCUCCAGGGCCCCGAAGACACCGACCGGGCACUUGAUCUCCCAGAACAUUCAUCAGAGAAACGACGAGCAUCAGACCGUGAUCGACGACGUGUUCUCUGCUGGAGAUGGAGAGCGGCAGACAGACCGAUUCACGCAAAGGGAGAUGCUGGCAGUCCCGUCAUUCGUGAGGCCGAUGCCAGGAAGGAGCUGCAUGGGACCAUCAGCGGGGCGCUAGCCGUGCCGAGAAGGAGAAACCCGCAGUCUAAACGGGGGACCCACGGGUUGCAUCGCACCUGAACGGAGUCCGAGACAGGACCCACCGCCCUCCUGGAUGAACGCGGGGACUUCCUUUGCAGCCUGCUGGGCGACUCCUUGAAAGCGAGCAAAUGAACGUCACGGUGUCGAGCCAGUUUUGGAGCUGAUUUUUCCUCGGUGGUUAUUUUUGCAGCUUCUCAUGUCAUUCUGUCUGGGGUGGAAAUCUUCAGCCGUCGCUGAAACAAAACUUGUCCCACUGAAAAACAGGACCGUAUCUAAAAUUUGAAUGGGAGCUGCUCUGUCGGUCCAUCCGAUCUGUGCCACUGUAUCUCUAGAAAUUAGUAUUGAAUCAUGGUGUGAGGUUUUCUGGUGAGUCCUCAAAUGAGCUAUGAACUCGCUAACCUUGGAGCCACCCAGAAAAACAAAGGCCCACGUAGGACGUGAGGAUGUGGUCUGAGCUGGUUUAACUAGAGCUUCACUGGAACGGCCGAGCUUCAUGAGGUUAGAGUGCCGUGACCUUGGCGUCAGGUUCUGUCAUUCUCAGGGAUGUCCUGCCUUUGCCCCUGUGUCUGAGAGCCACUGCACGAACCGUCACUGAGCCUGCAGAGUUGUAUACGUUCACCCUGUGAGCUUGGGUGGCCUUUGGCAGACGUGGGGCGGGGGUGACCCCUCACAACGAAGUUGUAAAUUCAUUGUUGCUGAACAUUUCCUUUUCAAAUCAGCUUUUAUUUAUUGAACUUGUAAUUGGGGCUGGAUGGCCCCUUGUUAGUUAAUGAUUUUAUUUUAAUCUCUUCCUCAUAAACUGUAAGUAUAAAAAGUCAAUUCAGUAUCACA
This is a long non-coding RNA of Varanus komodoensis (Komodo dragon), 1443 nucleotides long. RefSeq lists it as uncharacterized. The transcript is spliced from 4 exons. The record is from RefSeq and is a predicted model, not a curated record. NCBI's taxonomy places the organism in Eukaryota, Metazoa, Chordata, Lepidosauria, Squamata, Varanidae.